GACGAACGCUGGCGGCGUGCCUAAUACAUGCAAGUCGAACGAGAGCGACCGGUGCUUGCACUGGUCAAUCUAGUGGCGAACGGGUGAGUAACACGUGGGUAACCUGCCCAUCAGAGGGGGAUAACAUCCGGAAACGGAUGCUAAAACCGCAUAGGUCUUCGAGCCGCAUGGCUUGAAGAGGAAAAGAGGCGCAAGCUUCUGCUGAUGGAUGGACCCGCGGUGCAUUAGCUAGUUGGUGAGGUAACGGCUCACCAAGGCGGUGAUGCAUAGCCGACCUGAGAGGGUGAUCGGCCACAUUGGGACUGAGACACGGUCCAAACUCCUACGGGAGGCAGCAGUAGGGAAUCUUCCGCAAUGGACGCAAGUCUGACGGAGCAACGCCGCGUGAGUGAAGAAGGUUUUCGGAUCGUAAAACUCUGUUGUUAGAGAAGAACAAGUGCUAGAGUAACUGUUAGCGCCUUGACGGUAUCUAACCAGAAAGCCACGGCUAACUACGUG
Molecule: ribosomal RNA, 498 nt
Filed under: uncultured bacterium
Lineage: Bacteria
Description: partial 16S ribosomal RNA
Rfam family: Bacterial small subunit ribosomal RNA
Source: RNAcentral